UGUGGGAGCGGGCUUGCUCGCGAAUGCGGUGUGUCAGGCAAUACAUCUGGCACUGAUACACCACUAUCGCGAGCAAGCCCGCUCCCACA
Molecule: unclassified non-coding RNA, 89 nt
Filed under: Pseudomonas brenneri
Lineage: Bacteria; Pseudomonadati; Pseudomonadota; Gammaproteobacteria; Pseudomonadales; Pseudomonadaceae
Source: RNAcentral